RNAcentral lists this ribosomal RNA (253 nucleotides) under uncultured bacterium. RNAcentral's name for it is "partial 16S ribosomal RNA". It matches the Rfam family "Bacterial small subunit ribosomal RNA", at positions 524 to 776 of the family's 1533-position model. The record is from RNAcentral.
UACGUAGGGGGCAAGCGUUGUCCGGAAUCAUUGGGCGUAAAGCGCGUGUAGGCGGCUCGGUAAGUCUGCUGUGAAAGUCCAGGGCUCAACCCUGGGAUGCCGGUGGAUACUGUCGAGCUCGAGUCCGGAAGAGGCGAGUGGAAUUCCUGGUGUAGCGGUGAAAUGCGCAGAUAUCAGGAGGAACACCAAUGGCGAAGGCAGCUCGCUGGGACGUGACUGACGCUGAGACGCGAAAGCCAGGGGGGCAAACGGG